Molecule: ribosomal RNA, 253 nt
Filed under: uncultured bacterium
Lineage: Bacteria
Description: partial 16S ribosomal RNA
Rfam family: Bacterial small subunit ribosomal RNA
Source: RNAcentral
UACGUAGGGUGCAAGCGUUGUCCGGAAUUAUUGGGCGUAAAGAGCUCGUAGGCGGUUUGUCGCGUCUGCUGUGAAAUCCGGAGGCUCAACCUCCGGCCUGCAGUGGGUACGGGCAGACUAGAGUGCGGUAGGGGAGAUUGGAAUUCCUGGUGUAGCGGUGAAAUGCGCAGAUAUCAGGAGGAACACCGGUGGCGAAGGCGGAUCUCUGGGCCAUUACUGACGCUGAGGAGCGAAAGCGUGGGGAGCGGACAGG